GAUGAAGAACGCAGCGAAAUGCGAUACUUGGUGUGAAUUGCAGAAUCCCGUGAACCAUCGAGUCUUUGAACGCAAGUUGCGCCUCAAGCCAUUAGGUUGAGGGCACGUCUGCCUGGGCGUCACAUAUCGUUGCCUGAUGCCAGUUUCCUCGUGAUGGGUGACUGUGCAGGGCGAAUGAUGGCUUCCUGUUAGCAUUGUUGCCUCAUGGUUGGUUGAAAAUUGAGUCCUUGGUAGGGAGCGCCGUGAUAGAUGGUGGUUGAGUGACGAACGAGACCCAAUCAUGUGAGACCCCUACCGAAUUUGGCCUUCAUGACCCACAUGCGUCUUUGGAACGCUCAUGACGAGACCUCAGGUCAGGCGGGGCUACCCGCUGAGUUUAAGCAUAUCAAUAAGCGGAGGA
This 400-nucleotide unclassified non-coding RNA is filed under the name soil metagenome. Its description in RNAcentral is "partial contains 5.8S ribosomal RNA, internal transcribed spacer 2, and large subunit ribosomal RNA". The stretch from base 1 to 122 matches the Rfam family "5.8S ribosomal RNA", at positions 35 to 154 of the family's 154-position model. The record is from RNAcentral.